UCUUAAGUGUUUUUAUGUUGGCUUUACCAUUUGGCAUUGAAUAGCAGUAUAGUUCACUGACAAAAUGCAGGGAGCUGUUUCAGACUUGCUGGGUCUUGUUGUGUUGUGAUUUAAAAUAUUUUGCUCUUUUUUAAGCUUCAAUUAUUGGCUUUGUCAACAUUGAUUUGAUCUUAUUUUUCUAUUCCUGAAACUACAGCUGUUUUCUUUUGUGGGUGAGAGGUUGCUGGGGCUUUAAACGACUGCCUUUGUGGUAUGGUGUUUCAAGACUCCAAUUCCCUCUGCUUUUUCUACUGUUUGCUGCUUCUCCAUUUGUUUUUAGUACUAGAGCCCUCUUUCCCUGAGGGUAGGAAUCAAACAUCUUGUGAAUCAUUGCUUUCCACUUAUAUUGGCCAGAGGCACAGUCAUAGUAGCAAUGAUGAUUUGUCAUACCUUGUACAGGAUGAUUUGUUUUGGAAAGCGAAGUAGGUAGAUCUGUUACAAUGCACAGAACUGUAUAAACUACUACAAAUGCCUCUACUACUGGGAUAAUAUGGUGCUGUGCAAUUUGGUUCCUAUGCAAAGUAAACUAAGACAGUGACUGACCUGAAAUGUCAUGUAAAGGGACAGGAUGUUCUUACAAAUUCUUUCAGUGAUAGCAAAACAGGAGAUAGUUUAAGUUAUAGGCUUCAGAUCGGUAGAGAUCUGAAUUUCUUUCUGAUUCCUAGAGGUUAGUAAUCCUGCAUACGGACAAUAAAAAUGCUUUUUGUGCAACUUAUCAGAACAAGUCGCAGGUUCUUGUUUUUCUUUCUCUUUUUCAGUCAGGAGUGGAAACCAGUGUAUUUUUAUUCCUGCAAAUAGUCCCAUGAGGUUAGAGUUCAGAUACGUUAGAAAGGGAAACCUUUGGUGGGGAGCGCAGUUGCUGUGACUGUAUUACCAGUGAAGACUCCUUUCAGACUUCAAAAGUGACUUUCUUGGAGAUCUAAGGAGUGAGACUAGUACAGAUAGAGAAGGUGUUUGCAGACUUCCCCCCCGCCCUUUCCUGAACUUUUAACAUUCAAAGUAGUUGUGCAUAUUUAACCUCUUCAAGGG
Molecule: long non-coding RNA, 1068 nt
Organism: Aquila chrysaetos chrysaetos
Lineage: Eukaryota; Metazoa; Chordata; Aves; Accipitriformes; Accipitridae
Exons: 2
Source: RefSeq, a predicted model, not a curated record